CCAUGAAGCUGGAUUCGCUAGUAAUCGCGGAUCAGAAUGCCGCGGUGAAUACGUUCCCGGGUCUUGUACACACCGCCCGUCACACCAUGGGAGUCGGAAAUGCCCGAAGUCGGUGACCUAACUGGAAAGGAAGGAGCCGCCGAAGGCAGGUCUGGUGACUGGGGUGAAGUCGUAACAAGGUAUC
Molecule: ribosomal RNA, 184 nt
Filed under: uncultured bacterium
Lineage: Bacteria
Description: partial 16S ribosomal RNA
Rfam family: Bacterial small subunit ribosomal RNA
Source: RNAcentral